AUUGAACGCUGGCGGAAUGCUUUACACAUGCAAGUCGAGCGGCAGCGCGGCCUUCGGGCUGGCGGCGAGCGGCGAACGGGUGAGUAAUGCAUCGGAACAUGCCCAGUCGUGGGGGAUAACACUUCGAAAGAAGUGCUAAUACCGCAUACGUCCUGAGGGGGAAGGGGGGGGUCGCAAAACCCUCCCCCGUUUGGGUUGCCGAUGUCAGAUUAGCUAGUUGGUGGGGUAAAGGCCUACCAAGGCGACGAUCUGUAGCUGGUCUGAGAGGAUGAUCAGCCACACUGGGACUGAGACACGGCCCAGACUCCUACGGGAGGCAGCAGUGGGGAAUUUUGGACAAUGGGGGCAACCCUGAUCCAGCCAUUCCGCGUGAGUGAAGAAGGCCUUCGGGUUGUAAAGCUCUUUCGGCAGGAACGAAACGGUGGGCUCUAACAUAGUCCGCUAAUGACGGUACCUGAAGAAGAAGCACCGGCUAACUACGUG
RNAcentral lists this ribosomal RNA (483 nucleotides) under uncultured bacterium. Its description in RNAcentral is "partial 16S ribosomal RNA". It matches the Rfam family "Bacterial small subunit ribosomal RNA", at positions 30 to 507 of the family's 1533-position model. The record is from RNAcentral.